This 202-nucleotide ribosomal RNA is filed under the name uncultured bacterium. RNAcentral describes it as "partial 16S ribosomal RNA". It matches the Rfam family "Bacterial small subunit ribosomal RNA", at positions 30 to 236 of the family's 1533-position model. The record is from RNAcentral.
AUUGAACGCUGGCGGCAUGCUUAACGCAUGCAAGUCGAACGGUAACAGGCCCCUUGGGGUGCUGACGAGUGGCGGACGGGUGAGUAAUGCUUAGGAAUCUGCCUAGUAGUGGGGGAUAACCCGGGGAAACUCGGGCUAAUACCGCAUACGCCUACGGGGAAAGCGGGGACUUUCGGCCUCGCGCUAUUAGAUGAGCCUAAGU